GUUGGUGGGGUAACGGCCUACCAAGGCGACGAUCAGUAGCCGGCCUGAGAGGGUGAACGGCCACAUUGGGACUGAGACACGGCCCAAACUCCUACGGGAGGCAGCAUG
Molecule: ribosomal RNA, 108 nt
Filed under: uncultured bacterium
Lineage: Bacteria
Description: partial 16S ribosomal RNA
Rfam family: Bacterial small subunit ribosomal RNA
Source: RNAcentral